GAUUCAGCGGCGGACGGGUGAGUAAUGCCUAGGAAUCUGCCUGGUAGUGGGGGAUAACGUCCGGAAACGGGCGCUAAUACCGCAUACGUCCUGAGGGAGAAAGUGGGGGAUCUUCGGACCUCACGCUAUCAGAUGAGCCUAGGUCGGAUUAGCUAGUUGGUGGGGUAAAGGCCUACCAAGGCGACGAUCCGUAACUGGUCUGAGAGGAUGAUCAGUCACACUGGAACUGAGACACGGUCCAGACUCCUACGGGAGGCAGCAGUGGGGAAUAUUGGACAAUGGGCGAAAGCCUGAUCCAGCCAUGCCGCGUGUGUGAAGAAGGUCUUCGGAUUUAAAGCACUUUAAGUUGGAGGAAGGGCAGUAA
This 364-nucleotide ribosomal RNA is filed under the name uncultured Pseudomonas sp. RNAcentral describes it as "bacterial SSU rRNA". It matches the Rfam family "Bacterial small subunit ribosomal RNA", at positions 89 to 458 of the family's 1533-position model. The record is from RNAcentral. Lineage: Bacteria; Pseudomonadati; Pseudomonadota; Gammaproteobacteria; Pseudomonadales; Pseudomonadaceae.